GAUGAACGCUGGCGGCGUGCCUAAUACAUGCAAGUAGAACGCUGAAGGAAGGAGCUUGCUCUUUCCGGAUGAGUUGCGAACGGGUGAGUAACGCGUAGGUAACCUGCCUGGUAGCGGGGGAUAACUAUUGGAAACGAUAGCUAAUACCGCAUAACAGUAGAUGUUGCAUGAUAUCUACUUAAAAGGUGCAAUUGCACCACUACCAGAUGGACCUGCGUUGUAUUAGCUAGUUGGUGAGGUAACGGCUCACCAAGGCGACGAUACAUAGCCGACCUGAGAGGGUGAUCGGCCACACUGGGACUGAGACACGGCCCAGACUCCUACGGGAGGCAGCAGUAGGGAAUCUUCGGCAAUGGACGGAAGUCUGACCGAGCAACGCCGCGUGAGUGAAGAAGGUUUUCGGAUCGUAAAGCUCUGUUGUAAGAGAAGAACGAGUGUGAGAGUGGAAAGUUCACACUGUGACGGUAGCUUACCAGAAAGGGACGGCUAACUACGUG
This 497-nucleotide ribosomal RNA is filed under the name uncultured bacterium. RNAcentral's name for it is "partial 16S ribosomal RNA". It matches the Rfam family "Bacterial small subunit ribosomal RNA", at positions 28 to 507 of the family's 1533-position model. The record is from RNAcentral.